This 992-nucleotide ribosomal RNA is filed under the name Bacillus sp. AAS6. RNAcentral describes it as "bacterial SSU rRNA". It matches the Rfam family "Bacterial small subunit ribosomal RNA", at positions 28 to 1011 of the family's 1533-position model. The record is from RNAcentral. Lineage: Bacteria; Bacillati; Bacillota; Bacilli; Caryophanales; Bacillaceae.
GAGUUGCGGCUGGGCGGGCGUGCCUAUACAUGCAGUCGAGCGACUGAUUAGAAGCUUGCUUCUAUCGACGUUAGCGGCGGACGGGUGAGUAACACGUGGGCAACCUGCCUGUAAGACUGGGAUAACUCCGGGAAACCGGAGCUAAUACCGGAUAACAUUUUCUCUUGCAUAAGAGAAAAUUGAAAGAUGGUUUCGGCUAUCACUUACAGAUGGGCCCGCGGUGCAUUAGCUAGUUGGUGAGGUAACGGCUCACCAAGGCAACGAUGCAUAGCCGACCUGAGAGGGUGAUCGGCCACACUGGGACUGAGACACGGCCCAGACUCCUACGGGAGGCAGCAGUAGGGAAUCUUCCGCAAUGGACGAAAGUCUGACGGAGCAACGCCGCGUGAGUGAUGAAGGCUUUCGGGUCGUAAAACUCUGUUGUUAGGGAAGAACAAGUACAAGAGUAACUGCUUGUACCUUGACGGUACCUAACCAGAAAGCCACGGCUAACUACGUGCCAGCAGCCGCGGUAAUACGUAGGUGGCAAGCGUUAUCCGGAAUUAUUGGGCGUAAAGCGCGCGCAGGCGGUUUCUUAAGUCUGAUGUGAAAGCCCACGGCUCAACCGUGGAGGGUCAUUGGAAACUGGGGAACUUGAGUGCAGAAGAGAAAAGCGGAAUUCCACGUGUAGCGGGUGAAAUGCGUAGAGAUGUGGGAGGAACACCAGUGGGCGAAGGCGGCUUUUUGGUCUUGUACUGACCGCUGAAGGCGCGAAAGCGGUGGGGGGAGCAAACAGGAUUAGAAUACCCUGGUAGUCCCCGCCGUAAACGAUGGGUGCUAGUGUUAGAAGGGUUUCCGCCCUUUAUUCGUGGAGCUACGCAUUAGCACUCCGCCUGGGGAGUACGUCGCAAACUGACUCAUGAUGACGGGUCCGCCAAGCGGGUGACAUGUGGAUUAUCCGAGCACCGGGACUACCAGCCUUGACUUCUCUGGACACACUUAAGAAUAUAAAG